This 571-nucleotide long non-coding RNA is filed under the name Bos taurus (domestic cattle). Its description in RNAcentral is "long non-coding RNA NONBTAT009349". Lineage: Eukaryota; Metazoa; Chordata; Mammalia; Artiodactyla; Bovidae. The record is from RNAcentral.
AGAAAUUAUUUUAGCAACCUACGAGAUACCAUAGCACUGGUCCUUCGGCCUGUGACCCACAGAUGUGACUCAGUAUAGAGUUCAUUGCUAAUGAUAAAUUAUUAGUAAAUCUUUUUUCUAUUUUAAGCUAUAGUUGCGGGCAGGGGUGGGGGGGAAUCUGGCCACUUUUGUGUUUUAUGAAGGCCAUGGAAUAAAGGGAUCCAAAGAUUUAAAUAUUUUUAUCAAUUUUGAUUUUUGUUAACUUUCUCCUUAAAAUAAUCAGUAGUGGUAAAGAUACAAAAAACUGCACUGUAGGAGAAUUGAAAUAUUUAAAGGUGGUUAAGUGCUAUGACAAUACCUGUGUAGACUGUCGGAGAUAUCCUGGGCUACUUUGAAGAAAAAAGAAAAACUGUAAAUACCAAUUCUACAUGCUCUGAAAAUAUGAAUUCAUGCAUUUUGCCAAGCCCUCUGGGUCAUUGACUAGGGCGUUUGGUACCCCAGUAAUAACUGGCAGCAUGGCAUACCUGCAGUGCACCUUACAAUAUUAAAGCAGAUUUUUAUUCUGAGACAGAAUAAAAUUAUUCAAUAAAAA